This 253-nucleotide ribosomal RNA is filed under the name uncultured bacterium. Its description in RNAcentral is "partial 16S ribosomal RNA". It matches the Rfam family "Bacterial small subunit ribosomal RNA", at positions 524 to 776 of the family's 1533-position model. The record is from RNAcentral.
UACAGAGGGGGCAAGCGUUAUUCGGAAUUACUGGGCGUAAAGGGCGCGUAGGCGGCUUGGCAAGUGGAAGGUGAAAUCCCUCGGCUUAACCGAGGAACUGCCCUCCAAACUGCUUCGCUUGAGACCGGGAGAGGUGAGUGGAAUUCCCAGUGUAGCGGUGAAAUGCGUAGAUAUUGGGAGGAACACCAGUGGCGAAGGCGGCUCACUGGACCGGUACUGACGCUGAUGCGCGAAAGCGUGGGGAGCAAACGGG